UAAAGCAGAAAAGAGCGCAGAGUGAAUGCCUUGGCAUUGGGAGCCGAUGAAGGACGUGGUUAACUGCGAUAAGCUGCGGGGAGUUGUAAGCAAGCAUUGAUCCGCAGAUUUCCGAAUGGAGUAAUCCGCAUGAAGUAGUUCAUGCAUCCAUACGUGAAUUCAUAGCGUAUGGAGGGGAACCGCCUGAACUGAAACAUCUAAGUAGGGCGAGGAAAAGAAAUCAACCGAGAUUCCGUAAGUAGUGGCGAGCGAACGCGGAAGAGGCUAAACCAAGAGAAGAAAUUCUGUUGGGGUUUUGGACUGCAAACGGUAUUCUCAAUCUUUAGUCAAACAGUCUGGGAAGGCUGACCGGAGCGUGUGAUAGUCACGUAGACGAAAAGGAGCGAGAGCUAGCAGGAUCCAGAGUACCGCGGGGCACGUGAAAUCCCGUGGGAAGAUGGGGGGACCACCCUCCAAGCCUAAAUACUACCCAAUGACCGAUAGCGUAAAGUACUGUGAAGGAACGGUGAAAAGAACCCCGGGAGGGGAGUGAAAAGAACCUGAAACUCUGUGCUUACAAGCACAUAGAGCACGUCAAAGUGUGAUAUGGUACCUUUUGUAGAAUGGUCCGGCGAGUUAUGGUAUGCAGCGUGGUUAAGGACUUGAGGUCUGAAGCCGAAGCGAGAGCGAGUCUGACAAGGGCGAGAAGUUGUAUGCCAUAGACCCGAAACCGGGUGACCUAGCCAUGUCCAGGCUGAAGUGGAGGUAAAACUCCAUGGAGGGCCGAACCGACCUCCGUUGAAAAGGCGGCGGAUGAGAUGUGGCUAGCGGAGAAAUUCCAAUCGAACCCGGAUAUAGCUGGUUCUCCCCGAAAUAGCUUUAGGGCUAGCGUUGUAUUAGAUUGCCGGAGGUAAAGCACUGAAUGGGCUAGGGGCUGAGAAGUUACUGAACCCUAUCAAACUAAGAAUGCCGGACAAUUGAUGUACAGCAGUCAGACUAUGUGAGAUAAGUCUCAUAGUCAAAAGGGAAACAGCCCAGACCCACAGCUAAGGUCCCAAAAUGAAUUUAAGUGGAAAAGGAUGUGGAAUUGCACAGACAACCAGGAUGUUGGCUUAGAAGCAGCCACUCAUUAAAAGAGUGCGUAAUAGCUCACUGGUCGAGUGACUCUGCGCGGAAAAUAUAACGGGGCUAAGCAUGAAACCGAAGCUUGGGCUUGUCGUAAGACAGGGGUAGGGGAGCGUCGAGUAUGGGGUGAAGUCAGAGCGGAAGCACUGGUGGACUGUACUCGAGUGAGAAUGCCGGAAUGAGUAGCGAGAAUUAUGUGGGAAUCAUAAUGGCCGAAAAUCUAAGGUUUCUUGGGGAAGGUUCGUCCGCCCAAGGUAAGUCGGGAGCUAAGCUCAGGCCGAGAGGCGUAGGCGAUGCACAUACGGUAGAAAUUCCGUAACCACCGAAACUUAAACAGAGGGACACUUCAGGAUAGCGGAACCCGGGCGUUGGUUGACCCGGGCGAAAGGGAGCGAAAAUAGAGUAGCGAAGUCCGCGAUGCCUGGAGGCGAGAAAAGCUCUGAGGUAUGCUAAGGUGCCCGUACCGCAAACCGACACAGGUAGAUGAGGAGAGAAUCCUAAGGCCAACGGGAGAAGGGUUGUUAAGGAACUCGGCAAAUUGACCCCGUAACUUCGGAAGAAGGGGAGCCCCCUACGGGGGGUCGCAGAGAAAUGGCCCAAGCAACUGUUUACCAAAAACACAGGUCUAUGCUAAAUCGAAAGAUGACGUAUAUGGGCUGACGCCUGCCCGGUGCCGGAAGGUUAAGAGGAGAUGUCAGGCAACGAAGCAUUGAAUUGAAGCCCCGGUAAACGGCGGCCGUAACUAUAACGGUCCUAAGGUAGCGAAAUUCCUUGUCAGGU
RNAcentral lists this ribosomal RNA (1884 nucleotides) under human gut metagenome. RNAcentral's name for it is "bacterial LSU rRNA". It matches the Rfam family "Bacterial large subunit ribosomal RNA", at positions 1 to 1977 of the family's 2925-position model. The record is from RNAcentral.